GAUUCUUAAGGGAGGUCUACAUAUAUUGGGUCUGUAAUCAGUAACCUCAAAAAGUUCUCUAGCAACAAAGCAAAUGCUACUUCAGCAAUUCACAAUCCGGUUAAUGCAAUUGUGCAGCCCUCAAAUACCCUAUUCAACGAUUUGCAUUGAGUGCCAUCAGAAUGUUGUUUCCACCAGGAAGGUAUGCUACGUUGGGUGAUUUUGCCAGAGUUCCAGCAAUUUCUCUUGAUGCCUCAAUCCUCCUUAGCUCAAUUAACCCCAUACCAGCCUUUGAAGUUGCAUCAGA
This 286-nucleotide unclassified non-coding RNA is filed under the name Hevea brasiliensis (rubber tree). The record is from RNAcentral. Lineage: Eukaryota; Viridiplantae; Streptophyta; Magnoliopsida; Malpighiales; Euphorbiaceae.